This 74-nucleotide transfer RNA is filed under the name Alphaproteobacteria bacterium. RNAcentral describes it as "tRNA-Gln". It matches the Rfam family "tRNA". From Rfam's summary of the family: Transfer RNA (tRNA) molecules are approximately 80 nucleotides in length. Their secondary structure includes four short double-helical elements and three loops (D, anti-codon, and T loops). The record is from RNAcentral. Lineage: Bacteria; Pseudomonadati; Pseudomonadota; Alphaproteobacteria.
UGGGAUAUAGUUUAAUGGUAGAACAACGGACUCUGACUCCGUAUAUCUUGGUUCGAGUCCAGGUAUCCCAGCCA